AUUGAACGCUGGCGGCAUGCUUUACACAUGCAAGUCGAACGGUAACAGGCCGCAAGGUGCUGACGAGUGGCGAACGGGUGAGUAAUGCAUCGGAACGUGCCCAGUCGUGGGGGAUAACUACUCGAAAGAGUAGCUAAUACCGCAUACGAUCUAUGGAUGAAAGCGGGGGACCGUAAGGCCUCGCGCGAUUGGAGCGGCCGAUGUCAGAUUAGGUAGUUGGUGGGGUAAAGGCUCACCAAGCCAACGAUCUGUAGCUGGUCUGAGAGGACGACCAGCCACACUGGGACUGAGACACGGCCCAGACUCCUACGGGAGGCAGCAGUGGGGAAUUUUGGACAAUGGGCGCAAGCCUGAUCCAGCAAUGUCGCGUGCAGGAAGAAGGCCUUCGGGUUGUAAACUGCUUUUGUACGGAACGAAACGGCUCUGGUUAAUACCCGGGGCUAAUGACGGUACCGUAAGAAUAAGCACCGGCUAACUACGUG
Molecule: ribosomal RNA, 482 nt
Filed under: uncultured bacterium
Lineage: Bacteria
Description: partial 16S ribosomal RNA
Rfam family: Bacterial small subunit ribosomal RNA
Source: RNAcentral